This 253-nucleotide ribosomal RNA is filed under the name uncultured bacterium. RNAcentral's name for it is "partial 16S ribosomal RNA". It matches the Rfam family "Bacterial small subunit ribosomal RNA", at positions 524 to 776 of the family's 1533-position model. The record is from RNAcentral.
UACAGAGACUGCAAGCGUUAUUCGGAUUCAUCGGGCGUAAAGGGUGUGUAGGUGGCGCCGUAAGUCGGGUGUGAAAUUUCGAGGCUUAACCUCGAAACUGCAUUCGAUACUGCGGUGCUUGAGGACUGGAGAGGAGACUGGAAUUCAUGGUGUAGCAGUGAAAUGCGUAGAUAUCAUGAGGAACACCAGUGGCGAAGGCGGCUACCUGGACCGGUUCUGACGCUGAGGCGCGAAAGCGUGGGUAGCAAACAGG